This 76-nucleotide transfer RNA is filed under the name Haloechinothrix salitolerans. RNAcentral describes it as "tRNA-Lys". It matches the Rfam family "tRNA". From Rfam's summary of the family: Transfer RNA (tRNA) molecules are approximately 80 nucleotides in length. Lineage: Bacteria; Bacillati; Actinomycetota; Actinomycetes; Pseudonocardiales; Pseudonocardiaceae. The record is from RNAcentral. RNAcentral also lists the same sequence under 3 other names.
GGGCCGUUAGCUCAAUUGGCAGAGCUGCGGACUUUUAAUCCGUAGGUUCUGGGUUCGAGUCCCAGGCGGCCCACCA